UGUAAAUGAUGUUUUUCACGAUGGUCUUCAUAUGUCACAGUGAUGAUACCAUAAAUCAAUUUCUGAUACACAGAU
Anneissia japonica is the source of this 75-nucleotide small nucleolar RNA. RefSeq annotates it as small nucleolar RNA SNORD35. NCBI's taxonomy places the organism in Eukaryota, Metazoa, Echinodermata, Crinoidea, Comatulida, Comatulidae. The record is from RefSeq and is a predicted model, not a curated record. The transcript has a single exon.